GACGAACGCUGGCGGUAUGCCUUACACAUGCAAGUCGAACGAGAUCAUAUUUUUGUUUACAAGAAUAUGAUUGCAGUGGCGGACGGGUGAGGAACACGUAAGAACUUACCUUUUGGCGGGGAUAACAACGGGAAACUGUUGCUAAUACCCCAUAAUGGCUGAGGAGCAAAAGGGAAACUACCAAAAGAGAGGCUUGCGUCUGAUUAGCUAGUUGGAGGAGGUAAAUGCUCCCCAAGGCGACGAUCAGUAGCUGGUCUGAGAGGAUGAUCAGCCACACUGGGACUGAGAUACGGCCCAGACUCCUACGGGAGGCAGCAGUGGGGAAUUUUCCACAAUGGGCGAAAGCCUGAUGGAGCAAUACCGCGUGAGGGAUGAAGUAUCGUGGUACGUAACCUCUUUUCUU
This 403-nucleotide ribosomal RNA is filed under the name uncultured alga. RNAcentral describes it as "bacterial SSU rRNA". It matches the Rfam family "Bacterial small subunit ribosomal RNA", at positions 28 to 440 of the family's 1533-position model. The record is from RNAcentral.